Molecule: ribosomal RNA, 492 nt
Filed under: uncultured bacterium
Lineage: Bacteria
Description: partial 16S ribosomal RNA
Rfam family: Bacterial small subunit ribosomal RNA
Source: RNAcentral
AGUGAACGCUGGCGGUAGGCCUAACACAUGCAAGUCGAACGGCAGCACAGUAAGAGCUUGCUCUUACGGGUGGCGAGUGGCGUACGGGUGAGGAAUACAUCGGAAUCUACUUUUUCGUGGGGGAUAACGUAGGUAAACUUACGCUAAUACCGCAUACGCCCUACGGUUGAAAGCAGGGGAUCUUCUGACCUUGCGCGAUUGAAUGAGCCGAUGUCGGAUUAGCUAGUUGGCGGGGUAAAGGCCCACCAAGUCGACGAUCCGUAGCUGGUCUGAGAGAAUGAUCAGCCACACUGGAACUGGGACACGGACCAGACUCCUACGAGAGGCAGCAGUGGGGAAUAGUGGACAAUGGGCGCGAGCCUGAUCCAGCGGGACCGCGUGGGAGAAGAAGGCCUUCGGGUUGUAAAGACCUUUUGUUGGGAAAGAAAAGCAGCAGGUUAAUACGCCGCUGUUCUGACGGUACCCAAAGAAUAAGCACCGGCUAACUUCGUG